GACGAACGCUGACGGUGUGCUUUAGACAUGCAAGUCGAACGAGAAAGCCCUUCGGGUGAGUACAGUGGCGAACGGGUGAGUAACACGUGGGCAAUCUGCCCUUCGCAGGGGGAGUAACCGGGGAAACCCCGGCCUAAUAGCCCGUACGCUCAGAGGUUCGCAUGGACCUCUGAGGAAAGGUAGCUUCGGCUAUCCGGCGAAGGAUGAGCCCGCGGUGCAUUAGCUAGUUGGUGGGGUAACGGCCCACCAAGGCGACGAUGCAUAGCUGGUCUGAGAGGAUGAUCAGCCACACUGGGACUGNGACACGGCCCAGACUCCUACGGGAGGCAGCAGUCGGGAAUCUUGCGCAAUGGGCGAAAG
RNAcentral lists this ribosomal RNA (360 nucleotides) under uncultured bacterium. Its description in RNAcentral is "bacterial SSU rRNA". It matches the Rfam family "Bacterial small subunit ribosomal RNA", at positions 28 to 381 of the family's 1533-position model. The record is from RNAcentral.